UACAGAGACCUCAAGCGUUAUCCGGAUUUAUUGGGCGUAAAGCGUCCGCAGGUGGUCUGGCAAGUCAGGGGUUAAAACCUACCGCUUAACGGUAGGAUCGCCUUUGAUACUAUCAGACUCGAGUAUGGAAGAGGUAAGCGGAAUUCUCGGUGUAGUCGUAAUAAGCGUUGAUAUCGAGAAGAACACCAAAUGCGAAGGCGGCUUACUGGUACAUUACUGACACUCAGGGACGAAAGCGUGGGGAGCAAACAGG
RNAcentral lists this ribosomal RNA (253 nucleotides) under uncultured prokaryote. RNAcentral describes it as "partial 16S ribosomal RNA". It matches the Rfam family "Bacterial small subunit ribosomal RNA", at positions 524 to 776 of the family's 1533-position model. The record is from RNAcentral.